GUGCUCACUUCAGCAGCACAUAUACUAAAAUUGGAACAAUACAGAGAAGAUUAGCAUUGUCCUUGGCAAGGAAGACAUAUUUUUUCAUUGACUGCUAAAGUAGUUAC
RNAcentral lists this small nuclear RNA (107 nucleotides) under Dasypus novemcinctus (nine-banded armadillo). Lineage: Eukaryota; Metazoa; Chordata; Mammalia; Cingulata; Dasypodidae. The record is from RNAcentral.